This 543-nucleotide ribosomal RNA is filed under the name Conus hieroglyphus. Its description in RNAcentral is "partial 12S ribosomal RNA". Lineage: Eukaryota; Metazoa; Mollusca; Gastropoda; Neogastropoda; Conidae. The record is from RNAcentral.
AAACCAAAAAAUUUAGUCAUUUUUUUCGGUAAAGACAGUUAGGUAGAAAAUAAUCAUUAGAUCUUUAAUAUAGAAGUAAAAUUUAUAUAUUAAAAGUUAUACUUAAGAUGAUUUAUUUUAGAUACUGAAUCUGUGACAACUUUAAGGGAAACUGGGAUUUGAUACCCCAUUAUUUUUAGUAAUAAAUUUAAUUUAGAUUUACCAGAGCACUACGAAUAAAAAAUUUAAAACUCAAAGAGCUUGGCGGUGUUUUAGACCUCUCAGGGGAAUCUGUCUCAUAAUCGACAAUCCGCGUUAGACCUGACCCUUUAUAGUAAUUCAGUUUGUAUACCGUCGUCGUCAGGUAACUUUUUAAAAUAUAAUAGUUAGCUUAAUAAUCUUAUCAAUUAAUACGUCAGAUCAAGGUGCAGCUAAUAAAAGGGGGAAGAUGGGUUACAAUUAUAUAUUUAUAACUACGGAUGUUACUUAGAAAUAAAGUAUCUAAAGGAGGACUUGAAAGUAAUUUUAAUUAUAUAAUUAAGAUGAAUAAGGCUCUGAAACGUG